Molecule: ribosomal RNA, 429 nt
Filed under: Bacteroidota bacterium
Lineage: Bacteria; Pseudomonadati; Bacteroidota
Description: Bacteroidetes bacterium partial 16S ribosomal RNA
Rfam family: Bacterial small subunit ribosomal RNA
Source: RNAcentral
UAGGGAAUCUUCGGCAAUGGGGGGAACCCUGACCGAGCAACGCCGCGUGAGUGAAGAAGGUUUUCGGAUCGUAAAGCUCUGUUGUUAAGGAAGAACGAGUGUGAGAAUGGAAAGUUCAUACUGUGACGGUACUUAACCAGAAAGGGACGGCUAACUACGUGCCAGCAGCCGCGGUAAUACGUAGGUCCCGAGCGUUGUCCGGAUUUAUUGGGCGUAAAGCGAGCGCAGGCGGUUAGAUAAGUCUGAAGUUAAAGGCAGUGGCUCAACCAUUGUAGGCUUUGGAAACUGUUUAACUUGAGUGCAGAAGGGGAGAGUGGAAUUCCAUGUGUAGCGGUGAAAUGCGUAGAUAUAUGGAGGAACACCGGUGGCGAAAGCGACUCUCUGGUCUGUAACUGACGCUGAGGCUCGAAAGCGUGGGUAGCAAACAGG